GGAGGCUGUGCAGCCUCGCGGUGCUCCCAGCGAGCUCCCAAGGGUCUAUGCACGGCUGCCGGAGACCUCACCGGGGAAGGCUGAGCCACUCCAUCCUGUCCUGCCCGCUCCGGCCCCGCUCCUGCGCCCUUACCUCGAUGGCUGCCGGGCCGCGGGCUCUCCUGAACGGAUGCAGGCCGGUCCACGGCUCUGGCUAUCUUCUGCAGAUGCUCCUUGGGCCGGACGUCGGGCGAGCGCCGGACCGGCGUCAACUGCUCCGGCAACCUCAGCUCCGGUGGCAGCGACUGCUCCGGCGGCCCCUGGGCCGGCGGCGGCGGGAUGGGGGACAGCGGGAUUGAUGACAUCGGCCCCGGGGACUGUGGGAGCAGGGACUGCUGCUCCGGGGGUGGCUGCUCCAGGGCCCGCGGCUCCGAGGAUGUGGGGAAGGGGAAGCGGGUGCCGGAGGCCUGCGGGUCGCGGGGCGGCUCGGGCAGCGGCUGCGCGGGGGGCAGCGGGGUGUCCAUGGGCAGGACGCCGGGGCUGAACCUGUCCAGGGGGCAGGAGAGCCGCUGCAGGUGGUUCUCCCGGCCGGGGCUGUCUUGGAAGUGGCCUGCGAAGGCUGCAAGGACAAGCCCGCGGGAUCAGUGCCGGCGCAGCGGGCGGCAGGGAUCGGGCGCCCCCGGGACGGGGCAGCACGUCCCGGGGUGGCUGCAAAGGGGAGCAGCGGUGCACCCCGGCACGGGACAUCCACGGGGCAGCGGGGUGUCAUCCCGGCCUCCCGGGCACCGUCCGGCUGCUCCUGCUAUUCCCGGCACAGAUUCCCCCCCUGCACCCGGCUUGCUUACUUCUGCGCCGGCCGAGGGGGAAGAGCGGGCUGCUGCUGAGCUGGGAGUCCAGCGAGCUUCCCCUGGGCCGCGCGGCCGCCGGGGAGACGGACACCUCCUGCUCCGUCGGGUCCGAGCCCCAGGCCGAGGCGUUGGCUGCGGGAAGAGCGGUUCCCCCGUUUGCAGAGCGGGCGCCGCAGCGAGAGCCGGCACCGCGGGCGGGAGGGCUACGUGCGGCCAGGUCCCAGGUCCCGGGGCUGAGCACGGCCCCCCCCCUCCGGGCAGGAGCCCCCUUGCUGGGCGCUGGGAAGGACACAGGGAUGGGGAGGGGCAUGGGAUGGGAACAGGGACAGGGACGGGAUGGGGACGGGGAUGGGGACAGGAAUGG
This 1191-nucleotide long non-coding RNA is filed under the name Apteryx haastii (Great spotted kiwi). RNAcentral describes it as "lncRNA (ENSAHAG00000003324.1)". Lineage: Eukaryota; Metazoa; Chordata; Aves; Apterygiformes; Apterygidae. The record is from RNAcentral.